RNAcentral lists this ribosomal RNA (276 nucleotides) under uncultured bacterium. RNAcentral describes it as "partial 16S ribosomal RNA". It matches the Rfam family "Bacterial small subunit ribosomal RNA", at positions 79 to 353 of the family's 1533-position model. The record is from RNAcentral.
CUAAGUUUGAUGGCGACCGGCGCACGGGUGGAGUAACACGUAUCCAACCUGCCGAUGACUCGGGGAUAGCCUUUCGAAAGAAAGAUUAAUACCCGAUGGCAUAGUUCUUCCGCAUGGUGGAACUAUUAAAGAAUUUCGGUCAUCGAUGGGGAUGCGUUCCAUUAGGUUGUUGGCGGGGUAACGGCCCACCAAGCCUUCGAUGGAUAGGGGUUCUGAGAGGAAGGUCCCCCACAUUGGAACUGAGACACGGUCCAAACUCCUACGGGAGGCAGCAUG